RNAcentral lists this long non-coding RNA (669 nucleotides) under Homo sapiens (human). RNAcentral's name for it is "non-protein coding DSG1-AS1:3". Lineage: Eukaryota; Metazoa; Chordata; Mammalia; Primates; Hominidae. The record is from RNAcentral.
GCUCUGGACUUUGUUUUUGGAGGUAGCCUGUGAUGCAGGGCAGAAAAGAGCUGAUGCCUUGGAGAGAGACUGGGAGAGGCUGGAGUUAAUAGAGGGUCCCAGGGUAUCCAAGAAGCUGUCAUCCAGGUCUUCUCCAAUGAAGCUACAACAACCCACAGAGCCAGCAGGGGAACCUACACCUUCGAUGUCAUAUAUGAGCAAACAGUCAUUAGAUGGGCGUCCUUCAUCUUCAUCUGCAUGGAGUGAAUAUGAUGAUUCUGUGAAGGUUUAUUGCAACAUGACUUUUUCAGCACAGCAACAGGAAAAUUUGACUCUGGGUCUGUUCUACAAAAUUAAAGCUUUCUCAGCACAAAAAACAGCAUAGACUGUGAGUGAUGGCGGCCAUCUUGGUUCAUGUGUAAAGACUGAAUUUCAGUGACUACCAACGGCUAUUUCUUAGAAUGUGGCACUUACCCUGGGUUCAGGCUGUGGUCCUUCUACUGCCCAUGAAUGAAUUGCUCCAUCUGAACAUUCGGGAACAGGCUCAAAGCCAGCUGCACUACGAGGAGCACCUCCACAAUCACAACAGAUCAUCAAAAAUGGGACCACUGGUGGUGGAGGGAUAGUAAUACUAGAGUUAGCACUGGGUGCAAAUAAAAAACAAAACAACCUGAUUUUUUAUGGUUAAAU